This is a long non-coding RNA of Girardinichthys multiradiatus, 858 nucleotides long. RefSeq lists it as uncharacterized. The record is from RefSeq and is a predicted model, not a curated record. The transcript has 4 exons. Lineage: Eukaryota; Metazoa; Chordata; Actinopteri; Cyprinodontiformes; Goodeidae.
CGAAUCCCAAGUUCGGGCAGAAAGCGGGCUCGCUAGCAACAGGACGGAAAGUCAUAGUUCGGUAACGGAAUUUACUCGACUGGCAGGAAGGAUAACAUGGACUUUAUUUUCAAACAGUUUUAAUGAGGGAAGUGGUGACAUCAGAGGAGCGUUAUCGCCUUUCAGGUGAGUCUCAGACCUGACGGAUCACAGCUGAACAACGUAAAUCUGUCUGACGGCGAGAAACAGCCGACGAAUCAGCAAACAGGUUCCCUUGAAAACCUCCUUCCACCAGUGCAGUUGGUCCAAGUUGGACCAAACGACCAAACCUGUGAUGUUGGCUGCGCCCUGCAACACAACAAAUCUGUGCAACCACCUGAAGUUUAAACAUGCAGUGAUCUAUGAGCAGCUAAAACUCAGUCACUGGAGAGAUUCUGAAGGCAAAGCAGACCGAACCGAGUUGGUGCUCGAGGAAGCAGAAACCAUCAGCAAAGAUCACUGCAUCAAACCUCCACAGUAACCAUAAGACACCAUCUAACCACCAUCCAACUGUCAGACACAUCUAACCACCAUUCAACCGUCAGACACCAUCUAACCGUCAGACACCAUCUAACCGUCAGACACCAUCUAACCAUCUGACACCAUCUAACCGUCAGACACCAUCUAACCGUCAGACACCAUCUAACCAUCUGACACCAUCUAACCGUCAGACUCCAUCUAACCGUCAGACACCAUCUAACCAUCAGACACCAUCUAACCGUCAGACACCAUCUAAACGUCAGACACCAUCUAACCAUCUGACACCAUCUAACCGUCAGACACCAUCUAACCGUCAGACACCAUCUAACCGUCAGACACCAUCUAACCGUCAGACACCAU